This 119-nucleotide ribosomal RNA is filed under the name Hucho hucho (huchen). Lineage: Eukaryota; Metazoa; Chordata; Actinopteri; Salmoniformes; Salmonidae. The record is from RNAcentral.
ACUUACGGCCAUACCAUCCUGAAUACGCCCGAUCUCGUCUGAUCUCGGAAGCUAAGCAGGGUCGGGCCUGGUUAUUACUUGGAUGGGAGACCAACUGGGAAUACCAGGUGCUGUAAGUG